This 173-nucleotide small nuclear RNA is filed under the name Anser brachyrhynchus (Pink-footed goose). RNAcentral's name for it is "U2 spliceosomal RNA (ENSABRG00000013963.1)". The stretch from base 1 to 122 matches the Rfam family "U2 spliceosomal RNA". From Rfam's summary of the family: U2 is a small nuclear RNA (snRNA) component of the spliceosome (involved in pre-mRNA splicing). The record is from RNAcentral. Lineage: Eukaryota; Metazoa; Chordata; Aves; Anseriformes; Anatidae.
AUCACUUCUCGGCCUUUUGGCUAAGAUCAAGUGUAGUGUUUGUUCUUAUCAGUUUAAUAGCUGAUACGUCCUCGAUGAGAGGACUUUAUAGUAAAUGGAUUUUUGGGCUCAGUCUAUUCUUUUAUUUAUUUUUUCGCCAGGGGAGGUUUAGGUUGGAUAUUAGGAAAAACUUC